AUAUAAAAAUGGUUUGUGUUUUCCAGCAAAGUAAAACGUGCCGUUACUAUAAAGAAAUCUCCCAAUUAAGUAAAAAGCUCAGAGAACGUAUGCGAUAAAUAAACGUAGAUUAUAGUUCUCUCUUGUGUUUGAAUACGCUCAGAUCUGUUAAUUUCAUACAUCGGGGUGCUUUGUCGCUAUGCGAGAGAAAGUCUGCUAAGAACUAAUGUCUAUGAGGCAGGGCGAAAUUAUGGCUGGUUUAUAAAGAACGUGAAAACUCCAUGUUAUACAUUUAAAAAUAAGUUUGUAAACACGUGAAAGUAUGAAGACUAUAAGAACGAAAACGCUUAUCUUGAAUUAGGCUAAAAUUUAGUUUAUAUAUGUACCUUUAAUUUCAAAUCACACUGGCACCAAAAGAUUAUCAACUCUUAUAUUGGAGCCUUGUAAAGUUUGUCAAGCAACCUAAAUCUUAUUGUUUUGUUUUGAGCUCAAGCCAAAAAUGCACUAAGUUUUGCCGUCUUGGGAAUCCAUUCUGGGACCUUUUCACAUAACUGGAAUUUUCGGAGCUUAUGCGAUCCACCUUGGGGCUUUUAAGAUAAUGCAUGGCAACUCAGAGACUUAUUUAGGCUAUCCACCUUGGGGCUUUUGAGAUAAUGCAUGGCAACUCUGAGACUUAUUUAGGCGAUCCACCUUGGGGCUUUUGAGAUAUUGCAAGGGAAUUCUGAGACUUAUUUAGGUUAUACAUUGAGGAGCUUCCGAAAUAGUGAAUAGAUGCAAUUUUGUAAUACUUUUUAAAUUUCAAUUGAAUUUUUUAGCAUUUUAUGUUUAUAAUUUUUUGAGUAUUAUUCUGUUAUUAUAUACAUACUUAUUUCAUAUCUGUAUUUCUGCAUUUAGGCAGAAAAUCAGUGUUGAACAAUUAUACUCGAAGAUAUCCGAUAACAAAAUAAUAAUAUACUAAAAAAUUAAAAAUGUA
RNAcentral lists this long non-coding RNA (952 nucleotides) under Ceratitis capitata (Mediterranean fruit fly). Its description in RNAcentral is "uncharacterized LOC110118190, transcript variant X1". The record is from RNAcentral. Lineage: Eukaryota; Metazoa; Arthropoda; Insecta; Diptera; Tephritidae.